Molecule: unclassified non-coding RNA, 245 nt
Filed under: Hevea brasiliensis (rubber tree)
Lineage: Eukaryota; Viridiplantae; Streptophyta; Magnoliopsida; Malpighiales; Euphorbiaceae
Source: RNAcentral
GAUGGGGUCUUUUUGGAGAGGCAUUCCUUCUGAUGGAAUCACUUCCUCGUAAUUUGGAGUGAUUACAUUAGUAAUUGGGAAACUGAGAUUUCUGCCGUCUAAGGUUGUAAGAUGAACAGAGCACCCUGUCAAGGCCUCCGCCAGAGAUAUCUUUUGAGUGACAAUUAAAUCGUUUCCAUCGCGAGUGAAUACGCUGUGAGGCUUCUCAUCGAUCACAAAAACAAUAUCUGAUGGUAUAAUGUCGG